Molecule: ribosomal RNA, 425 nt
Filed under: uncultured bacterium
Lineage: Bacteria
Description: partial 16S ribosomal RNA
Rfam family: Bacterial small subunit ribosomal RNA
Source: RNAcentral
GUGGGGAAUAUUGGACAAUGGGCGCAAGCCUGAUCCAGCCAUGCCGCGUGAGUGAUGAAGGCCUUAGGGUUGUAAAGCUCUUUUGUCCGGGAAGAUAAUGACUGUACCGGAAGAAUAAGUCCCGGCUAACUUCGUGCCAGCAGCCGCGGUAAUACGAAGGGGGCUAGCGUUGUUCGGAAUCACUGGGCGUAAAGCGCACGUAGGCGGACCAUUAAGUCAGGGGUGAAAGCCUGGAGCUCAACUCCAGAACUGCCUUUGAUACUGAUGGUCUCGAGUAUGGAAGAGGUUGGUGGAACUGCGAGUGUAGAGGUGAAAUUCGUAGAUAUUCGCAAGAACACCGGUGGCGAAGGCGGCCAACUGGUCCAUUACUGACGCUGAGGUGCGAAAGCGUGGGGAGCAAACAGGAUUAGAUACCCCAGUAGUCC